This 207-nucleotide ribosomal RNA is filed under the name uncultured bacterium. Its description in RNAcentral is "partial 16S ribosomal RNA". It matches the Rfam family "Bacterial small subunit ribosomal RNA", at positions 568 to 774 of the family's 1533-position model. The record is from RNAcentral.
CGCGUAGGCGGCGUAUCAAGUUGGGUGUGAAAGCCCUGGGCUCAACCCGGGAUGUGCACUCAAGACUGGUAUGCUAGAGGAUGGGAGAGGAUGGUGGAAUUCCCAGUGUAGAGGUGAAAUUCGUAGAUAUUGGGAAGAACACCGGUGGCGAAGGCGGCCAUCUGGACCAUUUCUGACGCUGAGGCGCGAAAGCGUGGGGAGCAAACA